This 389-nucleotide long non-coding RNA is filed under the name Hordeum vulgare. RNAcentral's name for it is "long non-coding RNA (HVUL_LNC005577)". The record is from RNAcentral. Lineage: Eukaryota; Viridiplantae; Streptophyta; Magnoliopsida; Poales; Poaceae.
ACAAGGCUGGCAGGUAGUAGCUACCGUGCACACAUCCAUCCAUCUCAACGGGGUCGGGGGUGGCCGUGACAAAACCACAAGGCUUGUUUUGCAGAAACCUGCUCGCCCGGCUUUGGGAACGCCACUCGCGGGGCCAUGUUAAUUGUGGAAAACCCGGGGUGGCUCCGUGCUUUUAUGCGCACGCAACACAACAGCCGGCAAGCAAAAAAGGCAGAAGCGCGUCCGCCUCGUGCGUGCGUGCCUCCCAGACCGGCACGGCGCCACACCGACCACCAGUUUUUACCUCUCCCCGGUCCCCGGCUCUGCGCGCGUGAGUUCUGCUCCGGGGAGGCCGGCCGGGGUGGAGUGGGAGUGGAUGGCGAGGGUGAUGCACCGGUCGAGCUCGGNNN